AAAAGCAAAGAAAGUAGAAUUGCCAAAACAAUUUUGAAAGAGAAAAGCCACUUAAAGAACUCAUACUAUCUGAUUUCAAAGCUUAUUAUAAACCUAAUCAAGACAGGGUACUGGUGAAAGAACAGACACAUAGAUUAAUGAAGACAGAGUCCAGAAAUAGAACUACAUGUAUGCAGUAAAUUAAUUUUUGACAAAAGUGUAAAAACAAUUCAAUGGAGAAAGGAUAGUCUGUUACACAAAUGAUGUUGAAAUAACUG
This 257-nucleotide long non-coding RNA is filed under the name Homo sapiens (human). Its description in RNAcentral is "non-protein coding lnc-KCNMB1-6:1". The record is from RNAcentral. Lineage: Eukaryota; Metazoa; Chordata; Mammalia; Primates; Hominidae.